UACGUAGGGUGCAAGCGUUGUCCGGAAUUAUUGGGCGUAAAGGGCUCGUAGGCGGCCAACUAAGUCAUACGUGAAAUCCCUCGGCUUAACCGGGGAACUGCGUCUGAUACUGGAUGGCUUGAGAUUGGGAGAGGGAUGCGGAAUUCCAGGUGUAGCGGUGAAAUGCGUAGAUAUCUGGAGGAACACCGGUGGCGAAGGCGGCAUCCUGGACCAACACUGACGCUGAGGAGCGAAAGCCAGGGGAGCAGACGGG
This 253-nucleotide ribosomal RNA is filed under the name uncultured bacterium. RNAcentral's name for it is "partial 16S ribosomal RNA". It matches the Rfam family "Bacterial small subunit ribosomal RNA", at positions 524 to 776 of the family's 1533-position model. The record is from RNAcentral.